GAUGAACGCUGGCGGCGUGCUUAACACAUGCAAGUCGAACGAUGAAGCCCAGCUUGCUGGGUGGAUUAGUGGCGAACGGGUGAGUAACACGUGAGUAACCUGCCCUUAACUCUGGGAUAAGCCUGGGAAACUGGGUCUAAUACCGGAUAGGAGCGUCCACCGCAUGGUGGGUGUUGGAAAGAUUUAUCGGUUUUGGAUGGACUCGCGGCCUAUCAGCUUGUUGGUGAGGUAAUGGCUCACCAAGGCGACGACGGGUAGCCGGCCUGAGAGGGUGACCGGCCACACUGGGACUGAGACACGGCCCAGACUCCUACGGGAGGCAGCAGUGGGGAAUAUUGCACAAUGGGCGCAAGCAUGAUGCAGCGACGCCGCGUGAGGGAUGACGGCCUUCGGGUUGUAAACCUCUUUCAGUAGGGAAGAAGCGAAAGUGACGGUACCUGCAGAAGAAGCACCGGCUAACUACGUG
Molecule: ribosomal RNA, 466 nt
Filed under: uncultured bacterium
Lineage: Bacteria
Description: partial 16S ribosomal RNA
Rfam family: Bacterial small subunit ribosomal RNA
Source: RNAcentral